CCUACGGGAGGCAGCAGUGAGGAAUAUUGGUCAAUGGACGCAAGUCUGAACCAGCCACGCCGCGUGCAGGAAGACGGCUCUAUGAGUUGUAAACUGCUUUUGUACGGGGGUAAACGCAGAUACGUGUAUCUGUCUGAAAGUACCGUACGAAUAAGGAUCGGCUAACUCCGGUCCAUCAGCCGCGGUAAUACGGAGGAUUCAAGCGUUAUCCGGAUUUCUUGGGUUUAAAGGGUGCGUAGGCGGUCGGAUAAGUUAGAGGUGAAAGUCCGUGGCUCAACCUCGGAAUUGCCGCUGAUACUGGGCGGCUAGAGUGUAGUUGCGGAAGGCGGAAUGUAUGGUGUAGCGGUGAAAUGCUUAGAGAUCAGGCAGAACACCGAUUGCGAAGGCAGCUUACCAGGCUACUACUGACGUUGAGGCACGAAAGCGUGGGGAGCAAACAGGAUUAGAUACCCCAGUAGUC
RNAcentral lists this ribosomal RNA (460 nucleotides) under uncultured bacterium. RNAcentral's name for it is "partial 16S ribosomal RNA". It matches the Rfam family "Bacterial small subunit ribosomal RNA", at positions 338 to 795 of the family's 1533-position model. The record is from RNAcentral.